AGUGGCGGACGGGUGAGUAACGCGUGAGAAUCUGCCUUGGGGUCGGGGACAACCACUGGAAACGGUGGCUAAUACCGGAUAAGCCGAUUGGUGAAAGAUUUAUUGCCCGAAGAGGAGCUCGCGUCUGAUUAGCUAGUUGGUGAGGUAAGAGCUCACCAAGGCAGCGAUCAGUAGCUGGUCUGAGAGGACGAUCAGCCACACUGGGACGAGACACGGCCCAGACUCCUACGGGAGGCAGCAAUGGGGAAUUUUCCGCAAUGGGCGAAAGCCUGACGGAGCAAGACCGCGUGAGGGAGGAAGGCUCUUGGGUUGUAAACCUCUUUUCUCAGGGAAGAAGCUCUGACGGUACCUGAGGAAUCAGCCUCGGCUAACUCCGUGCCAGCAGCCGCGGUAAUACGGAGGAGGCAAGCGUUAUCCGGAAUUAUUGGGCGUAAAGCGUCCGCAGGUGGCGAUUCAAGUCUGCUGUCAAAGCACGGGGCUUAACUCCGUAAAGGCAGUGGAAACUGAAUAGCUAGAGUGCCGUAGGGGUAGAGGGAAUUCCCGGUGUAGCGGUGAAAUGCGUAGAGAUCGGGAAGAACAUCGGUGGCGAAAGCGCUCUACUGGACGGCAACUGACACUCAGGGACGAAAGCUAGGGGAGCGAAUGGGAUUAGAUACCCC
Molecule: ribosomal RNA, 659 nt
Filed under: uncultured bacterium
Lineage: Bacteria
Description: bacterial SSU rRNA
Rfam family: Bacterial small subunit ribosomal RNA
Source: RNAcentral